GACGAACGCUGGCGGCGUGCUUAACACAUGCAAGUCGAACGGACAGGCCCUGCUUUUGUUGCGUUCUCGUUUGGCGAACGGGUGAGUAACACGUGUGUAACCUGCCCUUGUCUUUGUGAUAUCUUCUGGAAACUGGGGCUCUUACCCGAUAUGAUCUCCUGCUGCAUGUUGGUGGUUGGAAAGUUUCGGCGGUUGGGGAUGGUCUCGCUGCUUAUCAGCUUGUUUGGGGGGUUGGUGCUUACCAAGGCUUUGACGGGUAGCCGGCCUGGGCGGGUUACCGGGCACAAUGGGACUGAGAUAGGGACCAGAAGGGUACGGGAGGCAGCAGGGGGGAAUAUGGCACAAUGGGGGGAAGCGAGAUGCAGAAACGCCGCGUGCGGGAUGACGGGCUACGGGGGGUAAACAGAUGUCGAAGGAGACGAAGAGAGAGUGACGGUAAUGGGUAAAGAAGCAACGGCUAACUACGUG
This 468-nucleotide ribosomal RNA is filed under the name uncultured bacterium. Its description in RNAcentral is "partial 16S ribosomal RNA". It matches the Rfam family "Bacterial small subunit ribosomal RNA", at positions 28 to 507 of the family's 1533-position model. The record is from RNAcentral.